RNAcentral lists this unclassified non-coding RNA (89 nucleotides) under Pseudomonas sp. B10. Lineage: Bacteria; Pseudomonadati; Pseudomonadota; Gammaproteobacteria; Pseudomonadales; Pseudomonadaceae. The record is from RNAcentral.
UGUGGGAGCUGGCUUGCCAGCGAUAGCGGUGUAUCAGGCAACAGAGAUACUGCUGAUUUGGCCCCAUCGCUGGCAAGCCAGCUCCCACA